Molecule: ribosomal RNA, 1369 nt
Filed under: uncultured bacterium
Lineage: Bacteria
Description: bacterial SSU rRNA
Rfam family: Bacterial small subunit ribosomal RNA
Source: RNAcentral
GACGAACGCUGGCGGCGUGCCUAAUACAUGCAAGUUGAGCGCUGAAGGUUGGUACUUGUACCGACUGGAUGAGCAGCGAACGGGUGAGUAACGCGUGGGGAAUCUGCCUUUGAGCGGGGGACAACAUUUGGAAACGAAUGCUAAUACCGCAUAAAAACUUUAAACACAAGUUUUAAGUUUGAAAGAUGCAAUUGCAUCACUCAAAGAUGAUCCCGCGUUGUAUUAGCUAGUUGGUGAGGUAAAGGCUCACCAAGGCGAUGAUACAUAGCCGACCUGAGAGGGUGAUCGGCCACAUUGGGACUGAGACACGGCCCAAACUCCUACGGGAGGCAGCAGUAGGGAAUCUUCGGCAAUGGACGAAAGUCUGACCGAGCAACGCCGCGUGAGUGAAGAAGGUUUUCGGAUCGUAAAACUCUGUUGGUAGAGAAGAACGUUGGUGAGAGUGGAAAGCUCAUCAAGUGACGGUAACUACCCAGAAAGGGACGGCUAACUACGUGCCAGCAGCCGCGGUAAUACGUAGGUCCCGAGCGUUGUCCGGAUUUAUUGGGCGUAAAGCGAGCGCAGGUGGUUUAUUAAGUCUGGUGUAAAAGGCAGUGGCUCAACCAUUGUAUGCAUUGGAAACUGGUAGACUUGAGUGCANGAGAGGAGAGUGGAAUUCCAUGUGUAGCGGUGAAAUGCGUAGAUAUAUGGAGGAACACCGGUGGCGAAAGCGGCUCUCUGGGCUGUAACUGACACUGAGGCUCGAAAGCGGGGGGAGCAAACAGGAUUAAAUACCCUGGUAGUCCACGCCGUAAACGAUGAGUGCUAGAUGUAGGGAGCUAUAAGUUCUCUGUAUCGCAGCUAACGCAAUAAGCACUCCGCCUGGGGAGUACGACCGCAAGGUUGAAACUCAAAGGAAUUGACGGGGGGCCCGCACAAGCGGUGGAGCAUGUGGUUUAAUUCGAAGCAACGCGAAGAACCUUACCAGGUCUUGACAUACUCGUGCUAUUCCUAGAGAUAGGAAGUUCCUUCGGGACACGGGAUACAGGUGGUGCAUGGUUGUCGUCAGCUCGUGUCGUGAGAUGUUGGGUUAAGUCCCGCAACGAGCGCAACCCCUAUUGUUAGUUGCCAUCAUUAAGUUGGGCACUCUAACGAGACUGCCGGUGAUAAACCGGAGGAAGGUGGGGAUGACGUCAAAUCAUCAUGCCCCUUAUGACCUGGGCUACACACGUGCUACAAUGGAUGGUACAACGAGUCGCGAGACAGUGAUGUUUAGCUAAUCUCUUAAAACCAUUCUCAGUUCGGAUUGUAGGCUGCAACUCGCCUACAUGAAGUCGGAAUCGCUAGUAAUCGCGGAUCAGCACGCCGCGGUGAAUACGUUCCCGGGCCU